GAUGAACGCUGGCGGCGUGCCUAAUACAUGCAAGUCGAGCGAACAGACGAGGAGCUUGCUCCUCUGACGUUAGCGGCGGACGGGUGAGUAACACGUGGAUAACCUACCUAUAAGACUGGGAUAACUUUGGGAAACCGGAGCUAAUACCGGAUAAUAUAUUGAACCGCAUGGUUCAAUAGUGAAAGACGGUUUUGCUGUCACUUAUAGAUGGAUCCGCGCCGCAUUAGCUAGUUGGUAAGGUAACGGCUUACCAAGGCGACGAUGCGUAGCCGACCUGAGAGGGUGAUCGGCCACACUGGAACUGAGACACGGUCCAGACUCCUACGGGAGGCAGCAGUAGGGAAUCUUCCGCAAUGGGCGAAAGCCUGACGGAGCAACGCCGCGUGAGUGAUGAAGGUCUUCGGAUCGUAAAACUCUGUUAUUAGGGAAGAGCAAAUGUGUAAGUAACUAUGCACGUCUUGACGGUACCUAAUCAGAAAGCCACGGCUAACUACGUG
Molecule: ribosomal RNA, 497 nt
Filed under: uncultured bacterium
Lineage: Bacteria
Description: partial 16S ribosomal RNA
Rfam family: Bacterial small subunit ribosomal RNA
Source: RNAcentral